GAUGAACGCUGGCGGCGUGCCUAAUACAUGCAAGUCGAGCGAACAGACGAGGAGCUUGCUCCUCUGACGUUAGCGGCGGACGGGUGAGUAACACGUGGAUAACCUACCUAUAAGACUGGGAUAACUUCGGGAAACCGGAGCUAAUACCGGAUAAUAUAUUGAACCGCAUGGUUCAAUAGUGAAAGACGGUUUUGCUGUCACUUAUAGAUGGAUCCGCGCCGCAUUAGCUAGUUGGUAAGGUAACGGCUUACCAAGGCAACGAUGCGUAGCCGACCUGAGAGGGGGAUCGGCCACACUGAAACUGAGACACGGUCCAGACUCCUAGGGGAGGCAGCAGUAGGGAAUCUUCCGCAAGGGGCGAAAGCUUGACGGAGCAACGCCGCGUGAGUGAUGAAGGUCUGCGGAUCGUAAAACUCUGUUAUUAGGGAAGAACAAAUGUGUAAGUAACUAUGCACGUCUGGACGGUACCUAAUCAGAAAGCCACGGCUAACUACGU
This 496-nucleotide ribosomal RNA is filed under the name uncultured bacterium. RNAcentral's name for it is "partial 16S ribosomal RNA". It matches the Rfam family "Bacterial small subunit ribosomal RNA", at positions 28 to 506 of the family's 1533-position model. The record is from RNAcentral.